This is a small nuclear RNA of Pristis pectinata (smalltooth sawfish), 160 nucleotides long. RefSeq annotates it as U1 spliceosomal RNA. The record is from RefSeq and is a predicted model, not a curated record. Lineage: Eukaryota; Metazoa; Chordata; Chondrichthyes; Rhinopristiformes; Pristidae. The transcript has a single exon.
AUACACAUAUGGCAGGGGAGUGGCAAUGAUCUGCAGGGUGUUCUCCGGGGCUGAGGCUCGUCCAUUGCACUCCGGGCAUGCCGACGCCUGCCAUGUCUAAAAUGUGGGACACACGACUGUAAAAUGUGUGGUGGUGAGAACGGCGUUCGCGCUCUACUCU